RNAcentral lists this transfer RNA (81 nucleotides) under Phytohabitans suffuscus. RNAcentral's name for it is "tRNA-Arg". Lineage: Bacteria; Bacillati; Actinomycetota; Actinomycetes; Micromonosporales; Micromonosporaceae. The record is from RNAcentral.
CGGCGCGCUGGUCGACGUCGACGACCCGGUGUUCCUGCCGCCGGGCGACAUGCCGGCGCGGAUCGCCGCCGCGUGCGCGGC